CAGACUCUCAAACCUGUUUCCCCACUUGUUUUCAACUUGCGAAUGAGCUGGAUUACUCAGGGGGACACAUGACUUGUCUGACCUUCUCCACCGGCACACGGAGCUCAUUCGGUAGGGUUUGGCCAUUCUUCCGGCAAUCAGCGUCGUAACUCUUCAUCGCUGCUGACCUCUCGAUCAAGCGCUUGAGCUCGGCUUUGGUGGUGUACGGUUCUCCGCGGAUGUUGGUGCAUUUUUCCGAAUUCGCAUUGUACAAUAAAGCUGCAUCUUGGAAAAGUUCAUCGAACGUCUUUUCUCCUUCCAUACAGCCAUCCUCUACCUGCAGUAUGACAAAUCAUUGAAGUUCCCAAGUUAAAGCCAAUGCAACAGUGCCAGUAUUACUAGCAAUAAACUGGCCUAGCAAUGGAAGCGCUAUUUGCACACCAUGUUGAAAGGGUGUUGUGAAGUAGUUAAUGUGAAGUAGUAUUACUAGCGAUAAACUGACCCAACAUUAAUAACCUGGCCCAAAGCGCUGUUUUCACACUUGUUGAAAGGGCGCUGGGGAAGUAGUUCGGUCGGUCUGGCGAUUAACUGGAUCAGGAAGAUCCGCAAUCCUCCGAGAUGAGCCGAAAUGAGCGUGUAACCACUGAAAUAAUAGCUAGUGACCUAUUAUCGGAGCUAAGGAUGCAAUUUCAACCGUUCGGCGAGGUCAGUGAUUCGCUCUGUAAUACACCCUCUGUGUAAUGAGUCCCUUUGUUAAGCUGCCGUAAAACGAGGACACUAUGCUUGAAAGAUACAGACGCGUGAGUUCUGUUUCUUCAUAAAGCCACCACCAAAAAUAUUGUUUAACACAGCUGAACAGCUGAACGAUGACAGGAUGUCAACAAAAAUAAAUAAAAACCUUCAUUUCUUGAUCUGUUAAGCGCAAAAUUUUGAACGUGUCCUCAUUCAUCCGCAGCUUUAAUGAUGGUAUAUUAGCAAUCUUAAAUAAAUGCUUGUUAAACGGC
Molecule: long non-coding RNA, 983 nt
Organism: Nematostella vectensis (starlet sea anemone)
Lineage: Eukaryota; Metazoa; Cnidaria; Anthozoa; Actiniaria; Edwardsiidae
Exons: 2
Source: RefSeq, a predicted model, not a curated record